RNAcentral lists this long non-coding RNA (400 nucleotides) under Homo sapiens (human). RNAcentral's name for it is "HSALNT0348376". Lineage: Eukaryota; Metazoa; Chordata; Mammalia; Primates; Hominidae. The record is from RNAcentral.
AGAACACAAUCUCCCAGAAUUCCCCAUAAUUCACUGUGGAAGCAGAAAAGCUGCUGUAAAGAACACAUGUGUUGGGAGGAGAAAGCAAUGCUGUGCUGCAUGCAGAAGAGAGAAGUAGAUGGUUUGUCCCAAUCCAAUGUUGCAUGUUAUCACAUAGGAGAGGACACCACACUUCUGAGGUGCCACUGAAUCCUUCCAGGUGAAAACGAUUCCUCUUAGUUUAGCCUGCUGAGGCUUUCACCACAGAACUUGGGCACAGGUCCAGAGAUCAAUACCAGAGUGAAAACACAGUGCUCCUCCCAACCCAGUCCCUUUGGACUCAACCACCUGGGGAUAGACAGAUACUAAGAUAGUAUCCAGUAAUCCUUGCCUCUUGGCAUUCGUGCCCAUGUGUAAUACC